UCCGCCCCCACAUAAACCGCAACGCAAAGGCAAAAGUCACCAAUAAGGAAGAUUCCGCAGCAAAUAAGCUAAGUUAGGGGGCUAAACAAGAGCAGACAAACACCAGGUCCGCCCUGCACAGAAGGUGAGCUGAAAUGUCACACGGGAGGACCAGGAAGACGUCUACUAUUAACCUACUACUAUCAAUUCCCGGGCUGACGCAUAGCCUUCCUGCCCGCACGCGCUUGGGUCUCUGCCAACACAACCGGGGCUACAUUCUCUGUCGUAUUCCAAGCCAACGUCUACUGCUUCCUGAAUUCAAUCCAGUGAUGGAAAGCAAAUGAGGAAACACACCACGUUUAGGAAGCAAACGCGGCGUUGGAGAAAUCUGACAAGGCACAUUUACCAAGCUAGAAAUAGAAGUCAAAAUCUACAGCGUUCAGUUGCUGGCGUCUGUUCUUGGGUUUUAUUAAUGAUAGACCAAAACCGAAACAGUUGUUCACGUUCCCGUAUUGGAAAUGAAUUCCAUCUGCAUCGUUAUGAUAGCGUGUAGUAAACUGAACCAAAUGAGGAAAAUCUCGUGAGCAAAGGUGGUGACAAAUCUUUCCCCGAUUGCCAGGGUAAUCAGGGACAGGAACAUCAAAUGAAACAAAUGAACGUGCCGUAAAUAAAUCUGUCCAGUACUACUUGAAGUCUCUAGGAAGCACCACAAAAGAAAGGACAUAUUGAUGCUGCCACCACGAAGGAGGAGCCCAGUUUGUCUUGAAAAUAAAUGAGCAAAUGAACAGUAAUCUAAGCUUAGGCACAAAGUCCAAAGUUUUCAAGUGCAAAAAAUGUAUCAAAGCCCAUCUGGGAAUAGCUCUCCAGAAUAGCUAACCUAGCAUCCGCAGAAGAUUGCACUACACAAGAAGAAUGUAUCUUAAGCCGUGAAAAACCUCGGAGGAUGGGAUGGGAGUGCUUAAAUAGUUUGAAAAGUACAUUCUAAAUUUACCUUUCCUUUGAUUUCUUUUUAUUCACAAAAUUUAUUUUGAAAUUUCAAUCAUCAUUAAAGGAAAAUACAACGAUUGUAUGUUUACCAAAAGAGGGCUUAAGGUUAAAAAAAAAAAAAAAGGUAAGGUUAACAAUUACUCCAUAGGAUGGUGUCUCACACAUGUUUAGUUGUGAACCAACAACCCAAAGCUGUCACAACUUCCAGUAUCUUUGCUUGCCUCGGAACUGUUAUCCAUGGGCAAAUUAGCCUUGGCUAAACUGGCUUCUCCACGGCUAGACAGACAUUUCUCUUACCGGAAAGUAUUUGGGAAUCCCAGUGUACAAACAGCAAUUAGCAAGUAUAACAUGCUGAGGAAGUUCUCAGUCAGUUCCGUAUGGGACAAUGGUUGCCCCUUCACAAUGAAUUCAAUGGGAAGCCUGAAUUGGAUGUAUUCCAGUUUUCCAGUCCAUUUAAGUCAUCACCUUUGGGAUCAACCGUUUUUGUCUUCUCAGUAUGGCUUCAAAUAUCAUAUAGAUAUAGGUCUUAAACUCUAUAAGAAUUUAAAUAUCUGGUAGUCUAAGAAUACAUGAAACAUCUUUGGAAUAAUACCCCUAUUACUAUUUUAGAGCAUUAAAUUCAUAAUGACUCAGA
Lynx canadensis (Canada lynx) is the source of this 1600-nucleotide long non-coding RNA. RefSeq lists it as uncharacterized. The transcript has 2 exons. The record is from RefSeq and is a predicted model, not a curated record. Lineage: Eukaryota; Metazoa; Chordata; Mammalia; Carnivora; Felidae.